This 656-nucleotide ribosomal RNA is filed under the name uncultured bacterium. RNAcentral's name for it is "bacterial SSU rRNA". It matches the Rfam family "Bacterial small subunit ribosomal RNA", at positions 30 to 678 of the family's 1533-position model. The record is from RNAcentral.
ACAACGCUGGCGGCGUGCUUAACACAUGCAAGUCGAGUGCGCAGUUUUCUGUAGCAAUACAGGAGGCGGGCGCACGGCGCACGGGUGCGUAACACGUGGGCAAUCUGCCCUCGGAUGGGGGAUAACCCCGCGAAAGCGGGGCUAAUACCGCAUGACAUUCCGGAGACUCCGGUCUCUGGAUUCAAAGGCCGCAAGGCCGUCUGAGGAGGAGCCCGCGCCCGAUUAGCUAGUUGGCGAGGUCACGGCUCACCAAGGCAAUGAUCGGUAGCCGGUCUGAGAGGAUGGCCGGCCACACUGGAACUGAGACACGGUCCAGACUCCUACGGGAGGCAGCAGUGGGGAAUAUUGCGCAAUGGGCGAAAGCCUGACGCAGCGACGCCGCGUGGGGGAUGAAGCUUCUCGGAGUGUAAACCCCUUUCGAUCCGGACGAAUGACCCGCAAGGGUUUGACGGUACGGGUAUAAGAAGCCCCGGCUAACUACGUGCCAGCAGCCGCGGUAAUACGUANGGGGCCAGCGUUGCUCGGAAUUACUGGGCGUAAAGGGUUCGUAGGCGGUGCGGCAAGUCGGGAGUGAAAUCUCUGGGCUUACUCAGAGGCUGCUUUCGAAACUGCCGUGCUCCAAUGCGGGAAAAGGCGAAUUGGAAUUGCANGUGUUA